AAAUACAAAUUAAAUUACAGUCUUAGUUGUAGAUUUCCAGUCAAUUCAAAAUGUAAGCUCUCUCUGGUUAGCAGUUUUAAUUCAAUCCUUGUUCAAUCUCCAACUUUUAAGCAUUCACUUGCCAAUAAAGUGUCACCGUUCAGCCCCCUGCAACUUCGGUGGUGCAGACUCUCGUCUGAAGGCAUCUCUUCAUGUUACAGGACAUGGAAGAGAAAGGGGGAUGGAAAGCACAUUAGGCAGGCUACGUCUCCAGAGACCUCCUCCUUUACUCCCCGGCCUCAGUGCAGCAGUACCAGGUUGAAACCCAGCACAGGAAGAUGAAUGAAGUGGAGACGAGAGCCCCUGAGGACAAAGAGCAGCACAGCUGGAAGAAGAGGACGUUUUCUCAGAGGUACCACCAGUGCGCUACCACCUAGGAACGUCUACCUGGGGUGGUGGCACAUCAACUGGAAAUACCUACCUGCUGCCCCAUGGGCAUGAAAUACCUGCAUGCCUGCCAUAUACAGCUUUGCAGUCCCACCUGAGUUGGUGAUACCUAUAACGUUGGUACCUCUUCAGAUGCAACUGUCGUGCCCCUCUUCCGGCUUGUGGGCUGGAGCAGUGGGGCCAUCGUUCACAUGAGUAGGCCUCAUCGUUCACAUGAGGAGCAAGAAAGUGGGCAACCAAGCUGAUGUUGGCAGCAAACGCAGGCUAAGUCCAGGCUACAGCAGGUCUGAGAGGAGGUAAAUUCA
RNAcentral lists this long non-coding RNA (731 nucleotides) under Struthio camelus australis. RNAcentral's name for it is "lncRNA (ENSSCUG00000000879.1)". The record is from RNAcentral. Lineage: Eukaryota; Metazoa; Chordata; Aves; Struthioniformes; Struthionidae.